UACGGGGGGAGCAAGCGUUGUUCGGAUUUACUGGGCGUAAAGGGCGCGUAGGCGGCGUGACAAGUCAGUUGUGAAAUCUCCGGGCUUAACCCGGAACGGUCAAGUGAUACUGUCGUGCUAGAGUACAGAAGGGGCAACUGGAAUUCUCGGUGUAGCGGUGAAAUGCGUAGAUAUCGAGAGGAACACCUGCGGCGAAGGCGGGUUGCUGGGCUGAUACUGACGCUGAGGCGCGAAAGCCAGGGGAGCGAACGGG
RNAcentral lists this ribosomal RNA (253 nucleotides) under uncultured bacterium. RNAcentral's name for it is "partial 16S ribosomal RNA". It matches the Rfam family "Bacterial small subunit ribosomal RNA", at positions 524 to 776 of the family's 1533-position model. The record is from RNAcentral.